AAAAUAAUAAAAACUGAUUUUUUUUUACUUAUAAUUUAAGACAUAAAAAAGUAAUUUAGUAAUUUUUUCUUCUUCUUAUAAUAUGAGAAGGAGUCUAGUCUCUAUAAAAUAAUGAAGGCAAGUGACUUCUCUCACAUAAUUAGGAGAGAAAGGUAUGGAUGUGAUUUUCCCUUCAGAAUAUGAUUUAGUUUCAUUUGUGUUGAUUUCAACUAAAUUCCAGAUUUUUCUACUUUUUGCAGUGAGCAUUUACUCAAAAUGGAUAUGUCAGCUAGCAAAAUGACAUCAACUGAUGAGUCAUGGACAACUUGGUUAUGUGAUUUGGUAAAUACAAUUAUGUUU
Molecule: long non-coding RNA, 339 nt
Filed under: Trifolium pratense (red clover)
Lineage: Eukaryota; Viridiplantae; Streptophyta; Magnoliopsida; Fabales; Fabaceae
Description: long non-coding RNA (TPRA_LNC014115)
Source: RNAcentral